RNAcentral lists this ribosomal RNA (468 nucleotides) under uncultured bacterium. RNAcentral's name for it is "partial 16S ribosomal RNA". It matches the Rfam family "Bacterial small subunit ribosomal RNA", at positions 28 to 507 of the family's 1533-position model. The record is from RNAcentral.
GACGAACGCUGGCGGCGUGCUUAACACAUGCAAGUCGAACGGAAAAGCCCUGCUUUUGUGGGGUGCUCGAGUGGCGAACGGGUGAGUAACACGUGAGUAACCUGCCCUUGACUUUGGGAUAACUUCAGGAAACUGGGGCUAAUACCGGAUAGGAGCUCCUGCUGCAUGGUGGGGGUUGGAAAGUUUCGGCGGUUGGGGAUGGACUCGCGGCUUAUCAGCUUGUUGGUGGGGUAGUGGCUUACCAAGGCUUUGACGGGUAGCCGGCCUGAGAGGGUGACCGGCCACAUUGGGACUGAGAUACGGACCAGACUCCUACGGGAGGCAGCGGUGGGGAAUAUUGCACAAUGGGCGGAAGCCUGAUGCAGCAACGCCGCGUGCGGGAUGACGGCCUUCGGGUUGUAAACCGCUUUCGCCUGUGACGAAGCGUGAGUGACGGUAAUGGGUAAAGAAGCACCGGCUAACUACGUG